GACGAACGCUGGCGGCGUGCUUAACACAUGCAAGUCGAACGGAAAGGCCCUGCUUUUGUGGGGUGCUCGAGUGGCGAACGGGUGUGUAUCAUGUGAGUAACCUGCUCUUUAUUUUGGGAUAACUUCAGGAAACUGGGGCUAAUACCGGAUAUGAGCUCCUGAUGCAUAUUGGGGGUUGGAAAGCUUCGGCGGUUGGGGAUGGACUCGCGGCUUAUCAGCUUGUUGGUGGGGUAGUGGCUUACCAAGGCGUUGACGGGUAGCCCGCCUGAGAGGGUGACCGGACACAGUGGGACUGAGAAAAGGCCACGACUCAUACGGGAGGAAUGAGGGGGAAAUAUUGCACAAGAGGCGGAAGCCUGUUGCGGCAACGCCCCGUGCGGGAGGACGGCCUUCGGGUUGUAAACCGCUUGCGCCUGUGACGAAGCGUGAGUGACGGUAAUGGGUAAAGAAGCACCGGCUAACUACGUG
RNAcentral lists this ribosomal RNA (468 nucleotides) under uncultured bacterium. RNAcentral's name for it is "partial 16S ribosomal RNA". It matches the Rfam family "Bacterial small subunit ribosomal RNA", at positions 28 to 507 of the family's 1533-position model. The record is from RNAcentral.